GAUCCUGGCUCAGGAUGAACGCUAGCGGCAGGCCUAACACAUGCAAGUCGAGGGGUAGUUACUUUCGGGUAAUGAGACCGGCGCACGGGUGCGUAACGCGUAUGCAAUCUACCUUUUACAGGGGAAUAGCCCAGAGAAAUUUGGAUUAAUGCCCCAUAGUAUAGUUUUUUUCGCAUGAAGAGAUUAUUAAAGUACCAACGGUAAAAGAUGAGCAUGCGUCCCAUUAGCUAGAUGGUAAGGUAACGGCUUACCAUGGCGACGAUGGGUAGGGGGUCCUGAGAGGGAGAUCCCCCACACUGGUACUGAGACACGGACCAGACUCCUACGGGAGGCAGCAGUGAGGAAUAUUGGUCAAUGGACGCAAGUCUGAACCAGCCAUGCCGCGUGCAGGAUGACGGUCCUAUGGAUUGUAAACUGCUUUUGUACGAGAAGAAACACUCCUACGUGUAGGAGCUUGACGGUAUCGUAAGAAUAAGGAUCGGCUAACUCCGUG
RNAcentral lists this ribosomal RNA (493 nucleotides) under uncultured bacterium. RNAcentral's name for it is "bacterial SSU rRNA". It matches the Rfam family "Bacterial small subunit ribosomal RNA", at positions 15 to 507 of the family's 1533-position model. The record is from RNAcentral.